Molecule: transfer RNA, 73 nt
Filed under: Erwinia phage FBB1
Lineage: Duplodnaviria; Heunggongvirae; Uroviricota; Caudoviricetes; Pantevenvirales; Straboviridae
Rfam family: tRNA
About the family: Transfer RNA (tRNA) molecules are approximately 80 nucleotides in length. Their secondary structure includes four short double-helical elements and three loops (D, anti-codon, and T loops).
Source: Rfam by way of RNAcentral
CGGGGCAUAGCUCAGAGGAUAGAGCAUCUGCCUUCUAAGCAGUUGGUCGCUGGUUCGAAUCCAGCUGUCCCGA